RNAcentral lists this ribosomal RNA (372 nucleotides) under uncultured organism. RNAcentral's name for it is "bacterial SSU rRNA". It matches the Rfam family "Bacterial small subunit ribosomal RNA", at positions 526 to 896 of the family's 1533-position model. The record is from RNAcentral.
CGUAGGGUGCGAGCGUUAAUCGGAAUUACUGGGCGUAAAGCGUGCGCAGGCGGUUUGUUAAGAUAGGCGUGAAAUCCCCGGGCUCAACCUGGGAACUGCGCUUAUGACUGGCAAGCUAGAGUACGGCAGAGGGGGGUGGAAUUCCACGUGUAGCAGCGAAAUGCGUAGAGAUGUGGAGGAACACCAAUGGCGAAGGCAGCCCCCUGGGUCGAUACUGACGCUCAUGCACGAAAGCGUGGGUAGCAAACAGGAUUAGAUACCCUGGUAGUCCACGCCCUAAACGAUGUCAACUAGGUGUUGGAUGGGUAAAACCAUUUAGUACCGGAGCUAACGCGUGAAGUUGACCGCCUGGGGAGUACGGCCGCAAGGUUA